This 705-nucleotide ribosomal RNA is filed under the name Triticum aestivum (bread wheat). RNAcentral's name for it is "partial small subunit ribosomal RNA". The record is from RNAcentral. Lineage: Eukaryota; Viridiplantae; Streptophyta; Magnoliopsida; Poales; Poaceae.
AUGGAGGCAGCGGUGGCUCGCGCCGACACAGCAGCAUUCUUCUCGGGCCAGGAGGACGCGGCCGAGGGGAGCAUGUCCAGCCUGCCGGCUCGGGUCGCCGGCUCGAUCGUCCGCGGCGUCAUCACCUUCAUCUUCGCAACAGUGGGCACGAUUCUGGGAGCCAUCACGGGCGGGAUGAUCGGGCUGGCGACGGAGAGCGGCCUCGUCCGCGGCGCGGGCAUCGGCGCCAUCUCCGGCGCCGUGGUGGCCAUGGAGGUUGUCGACAGGUCCAUGGCCAUGUGGCGCUCCGACGAGUGCGGCAUCUGGAGCGUCCUAUACGUGCUUGACGUGAUCUGGAGCCUCCUGACGGGCCGCCUGGUGCGCGAGAAGGUGGACCCCGCAGUGCAGAACGCCGUCGACAGCCAGAUGAACGCCGCGGGCGACGGGUUCAGCGACGGCCCGCCGACGCUCUCCGAGAUGUUUGACAUGGGCUCCGCCUCCUUCAAAGGCAUGGCUGCAGACGCCAUCGCCGAGCUCCCCGCGACGACCAUCACAGAGCAGCAGGCCGCCGUGCAGGACGGCGGCUGCUCCGUGUGCCUCCAGGAGUUCGAGGCCGGCGAGGCGGCGCGGAGCCUGCCGGAGUGCCGCCACACGUUCCACAUGUCGUGCAUAGACGGGUGGCUGUGCCGGCAUGCGUCGUGCCCGCUGUGCCGCCGCGCCGUCUAG